This 429-nucleotide ribosomal RNA is filed under the name Acidobacteriota bacterium. RNAcentral describes it as "Acidobacteria bacterium partial 16S ribosomal RNA". It matches the Rfam family "Bacterial small subunit ribosomal RNA", at positions 355 to 776 of the family's 1533-position model. Lineage: Bacteria; Pseudomonadati; Acidobacteriota. The record is from RNAcentral.
UGGGGAAUUUUGGACAAUGGGGGAAACCCUGAUCCAGCCAUCCCGCGUGUGCGAUGAAGGCCUUCGGGUUGUAAAGCACUUUUGGCAGGAAAGAAACGUCAUGGGUUAAUACCCCGUGAAACUGACGGUACCUGCAGAAUAAGCACCGGCUAACUACGUGCCAGCAGCCGCGGUAAUACGUAGGGUGCAAGCGUUAAUCGGAAUUACUGGGCGUAAAGCGUGCGCAGGCGGUUCGGAAAGAAAGAUGUGAAAUCCCAGAGCUCAACUUUGGAACUGCAUUUUUGACAACCGGGCUAGAGUGUGUCAGAGGGAGGUGGAAUUCCGCGUGUAGCAGUGAAAUGCGUAGAUAUGCGGAGGAACACCGAUGGCGAAGGCAGCCUCCUGGGAUAACACUGACGCUCAUGCACGAAAGCGUGGGGAGCAAACAGG